This 430-nucleotide long non-coding RNA is filed under the name Homo sapiens (human). RNAcentral describes it as "HSALNT0331949". The record is from RNAcentral. Lineage: Eukaryota; Metazoa; Chordata; Mammalia; Primates; Hominidae.
ACUGCAGGCACAGUGAGGAAGGUAGGGAAGGGUCUCUCCAAGACAGGCCCACCAGGAGCCCCCACUGGGAAUAAUGCAGCCCCUCUCAGGGGAUGGAGUGUCUGGAAUUCCAUGGCUGAGGUGCAACAGGUCCCACAGCCUCUCCAGCCUCUGUGGGAAGAAGGAUCAUCUGAUGCCUAUGUAAUAGAGUUGCUGAAGGAGUGGAAGCAGCUUUGACAUUAUCAGUGGAACCCACCAGUGCAGACUGCUUCACCAAGGGCACCUGAGGCAGCAGAUCUGAGGAUUAGGGACGUAGGGAGCUGAAGCCUGGCUGGAGAGGUGGUGCGCACAAGAACCCCCACAUUCCCCGACAGGAGCCUGAAAAAGCAAGACGCCAUGUUGGGAGGACACGGAAGCAGUUCUAGGGAGAGGAGCACAUGGCAAGAAGCCA